UNUCACCCUCCCCAUCGGAAAAUCCCUCACACUUAGCAGCCCUGAACCUCACAAACGAACAAUCCCUCAUCUCAUUUUCUUGAAGUUAACACACGCAAGAGAACUGAAAUCCCAACCAUUUCCAGAUCUCAAACACUCAGCUUCCAUUGCCGGCGAGCUUCGCCGGGAACCGGCGGAAACAAAGCCGAAAAAUACACUAUUCCGUUGCCGGCUUCCGUUUUCUUUUAUUUUCGUCUCAAAAUUGGAGUUCCAUCAAUGUUGUUGUUGCUGUCCGAGUUCUCUGUGGUUAAGCAUUUUCGGAUUGCAAUUGGAAAAAUUAUCUCAGUUGCCGCUCUAUUAGCCGGGUACAAUCUUUUCUAAUCUUCCCUUUGGGGCGCCGUUAUUAUGUAUUUCAUAAGAUCAGCCUUGCCGGUUUUGGAUGUUAUCGCGACUUGCCGUCGUUUUCUUGUCUGUGGCUGUUAAUAUCUGUUAGAUUUUUCUAGCCGUGAGUGAAUGAAGUGGUAUUCAUGUAAAUGAAAAUUUGUUCAUCUCUUUCUUUUGGUUUAUGUAUUUGUGAUUUUUUUCAGAAUUUGUUAGGAAAUGGUGUCAAAUGGGACGUUGUUCUGAUUGAUAGUCUGCCGAUUUGGUUUGGUCACUGUGUAUUGUUUGAAUUUAUUCUAAGACCUCUAAAAUGUUGAGUUGCUUGCUAGUUUGUUUAAGGGGUCGUGUUUGAGAUUAGUAUGAUAAUUUGAUUAUAUUAUGAAUCAUAAUGAGUUAUAGUCAUUGUGAAUGUUCUGUA
Molecule: long non-coding RNA, 778 nt
Organism: Nicotiana tabacum (common tobacco)
Lineage: Eukaryota; Viridiplantae; Streptophyta; Magnoliopsida; Solanales; Solanaceae
Source: RefSeq, a predicted model, not a curated record